RNAcentral lists this ribosomal RNA (549 nucleotides) under uncultured bacterium. Its description in RNAcentral is "bacterial SSU rRNA". It matches the Rfam family "Bacterial small subunit ribosomal RNA", at positions 355 to 896 of the family's 1533-position model. The record is from RNAcentral.
UGGGGAAUAUUGCACAAUGGGCGCAAGCCUGAUGCAGCCAUGCCGCGUGUGUGAAGAAGGCCUUCGGGUUGUAAAGCACUUUCACCGGGGAGGAAGGCGAUAAGGUUAAUAACCUUGUCGAUNGACGUUACCCGCAGAAGAAGCACCGGCUAACUCCGUGCCAGCAGCCGCGGUAAUACGGAGGAUGCAAGCGUUAAUCGGAAUUACUGGGCGUAAAGCGCACGCAGGCGGUCUGUCAAGUCGGAUGUGAAAUCCCCGGGCUCAACCUGGGAACUGCAUUCGAAACUGGCAGGCUAGAGUCUUGUAGAGGGGGGUAGAAUUCCAGGUGUAGCGGUGAAAUGCGUAGAGAUCUGGAGGAAUACCGGUGGCGAAGGCGGCCCCCUGGACAAAGACUGACGCUCAGGUGCGAAAGCGUGGGGAGCAAACAGGAUUAGAUACCCUGGUAGUCCACGCUGUAAACGAUGUCGAUUUGGAGGUUGUGCCCUUGAGGCGUGGCUUCCGGAGCUAACGCGUUAAAUCGACCGCCUGGGGAGUACGGCCGCAAGGUUA